This 454-nucleotide unclassified non-coding RNA is filed under the name Hevea brasiliensis (rubber tree). Lineage: Eukaryota; Viridiplantae; Streptophyta; Magnoliopsida; Malpighiales; Euphorbiaceae. The record is from RNAcentral.
GAUGACUGGAUCUUCAGAAGACAUGCCAUUGAAUGGUACUAGAAAAAAGAUCGAAGGUUCUGCUGCAAAUUUGGAAGGCAUUGAUUAUGCUCAGGCUCCAUCUACCCCUGGAUUAAUGGAAGAGCCAAAUGUGUCCAGUGUCAAGGAAGGUCUGGUCAGUGAUGAUCAUUUAGAGCCAGAAGAUCAGAAUUUAAGAGAAUUUGUACAAAUAGAGGGCUUUGAAAAUGCUUCCAGUAAGUCAGACCUUCAUCACAGGGAUGAUGCAAUGGAUUCUGCUUUAGGUGCUCAUUUAAAUCAUUAUUCUAUUGUGUGUGCACCUGCUGAGGGUAGCAGCCGCCCAUAUGUUGAAUUGGAGGUCAAUCAAACAAGAGUGGAGGGAGAUUUACUUUCUACUUCAGUGACUACAGAACAUGAUCCAGCAGAUGGGACUGUUGACGUACUGGAUGGUUUGGAC